CUACGGGCGGCACCAGUGGGGAAUAUUGCACAAUGGACGAAAGUCUGAUGCAGCAACGCCGCGUGGAGGAUGACACAUUUCGGUGCGUAAACUCCUUUUAUAUAGGAAGAUAAUGACGGUACUAUAUGAAUAAGCACCGGCUAACUCCGUGCCAGCAGCCGCGGUAAUACGGAGGGUGCAAGCGUUACUCGGAAUCACUGGGCGUAAAGAGCGUGUAGGCGGAUAGAUAAGUCAGGAGUGAAAUCCUAUGGCUCAACCAUAGAACUGCUCUUGAAACUGUCAAUCUAGAGUGUGGGAGAGGUAGAUGGAAUUUCUGGUGUAGGGGUAAAAUCCGUAGAGAUCAGAAGGAAUACCGAUUGCGAAGGCGAUCUACUGGAACAUAACUGACGCUGAGACGCGAAAGCGUGGGGAGCAAACAGGAUUAGAUACCCUCGUAGUC
This 439-nucleotide ribosomal RNA is filed under the name uncultured bacterium. RNAcentral's name for it is "partial 16S ribosomal RNA". It matches the Rfam family "Bacterial small subunit ribosomal RNA", at positions 339 to 795 of the family's 1533-position model. The record is from RNAcentral.